Molecule: non-coding RNA, 340 nt
Organism: Pelobates cultripes (western spadefoot toad)
Lineage: Eukaryota; Metazoa; Chordata; Amphibia; Anura; Pelobatidae
Source: the annotation of a GenBank genome assembly
GUGUGUCAGUCAGUAUGUGUGUGUAUAUCUGUGUGUGUCAGUGUAUCGGUGUUUUGUCAGUGUGUAAAUGCAUCAGUGUCAGUAUAUAUGUAUCUGUAUGUGUAUCAAUGUAUAUUUGUGUCAAUAUGCGUAUGUAUCGGUGUGUGUUAGUGUAACUGUGUCAGUUGACCUGUUUAUAUUUCAUUGUGUAUGUGUAACUGUGCCAAUAUGUGUGUAUCAGUGUGUAUGUGUAUCUGUGUCACUAUGUAUGUAUACGUACCUGUGUGUGUCAAUGUGUAUUUGUAUCCACAGCAACAGGUAGGGAGAACUGGUGUGUAAUUCCACCCGCUGCCACGCCUGG